UACGUAGGGUGCAAGCGUUAAUCGGAAUUACUGGGCGUAAAGCGUGCGCAGGCGGCUUUGCAAGACAGGUGUGAAAUCCCCGGGCUUAACCUGGGAACUGCAUUUGUGACUGCAUGGCUGGAGUGCGGCAGAGGGGGAUGGAAUUCCGCGUGUAGCAGUGAAAUGCGUAGAUAUGCGGAGGAACACCGGUGGCGAAGGCGGCAUCCUGGACCGGUAUUGACGCUGAGGCGCGAAAGCUAGGGGAGCAAACGGG
RNAcentral lists this ribosomal RNA (253 nucleotides) under uncultured bacterium. Its description in RNAcentral is "partial 16S ribosomal RNA". It matches the Rfam family "Bacterial small subunit ribosomal RNA", at positions 524 to 776 of the family's 1533-position model. The record is from RNAcentral.